UACGGAGGGUGCAAGCGUUAAUCGGAAUUACUGGGCGUAAAGCGCGCGUAGGCGGUUUGUUAAGUGAGAUGUGAAAGCCCAGGGCUCAACCUUGGAACUGCAUCUCAUACUGGCAGGCUAGAGUAUGGUAGAGGGGGAGAGUCAUCAGUAGCGGUGAAAUGCGUAGAGAUGUGGAGGAAUACCAGUGGCGAAGGCGGCCCUGCUGGACAAC
RNAcentral lists this ribosomal RNA (211 nucleotides) under uncultured bacterium. RNAcentral's name for it is "partial 16S ribosomal RNA". It matches the Rfam family "Bacterial small subunit ribosomal RNA", at positions 524 to 737 of the family's 1533-position model. The record is from RNAcentral.